UUUCCUUUCCAUCGCAAACUGAUUUAGAAGCAAAACUUUCUACAUUUAGGCGGCGAGAGGCUCAGCUUCUCUUUUCUCUCUCUUGCACCAGUGGUGAGUGAAUGGAAGGGGGGACGAAGGGGUGCGGCCAACGCAGGGUGACUGCAUGCAGCUUCCUUUUUUUUUUCUUUCUUUCUUUCUAAUUGAGCCCCAAAGUGAGCAAACAAAUCGCCGUUCAUAUUUUCCACGCUGCGACGGCCUCGUGAGCGACCCAGCGAGAGUCUGCGGUCAGAGGCGGGCAGUGCUGCUGGCCCAUGGCGCUGCGGUGUCACCGAACAGCCGUGGAGUUGCAGUGAGCAGUGCGCAUCCCCCCCUGCAGCGCUGCAUGGGAUGCAGCACAUGAUUCAGCCCCACUGGGUAAACAAGCCUCUUCCUGCUGCAGGGAAAGUCCCGGCCGCAUCGGAGCCCUGUGGGGUGGAAGCUGCUCUCGCUGCUCUCGAUGGGUUUGGGACGGGUUUGGGGUGAGAUGCAGCACCUGGAGCUCGGCUGCGUCCUCUGACUGCUGCCCAGCGCCUCAGUUUCCCCACUCAGGCUCACGCUCCCACGCUGGGUUUGCUCCAAGCUCUGUGCCAUGGGGGCAUGAAAUCAGCGAGGGCAGUCUGCGAGGAGAAAACCCGACUCUCGGGAUGAAAGCCUAAUUAAAGAGCUAAUUACAGGGGAGGUCCGGCUGUGCGGCCGGCAGGCAGA
Molecule: long non-coding RNA, 726 nt
Organism: Lagopus leucura (white-tailed ptarmigan)
Lineage: Eukaryota; Metazoa; Chordata; Aves; Galliformes; Phasianidae
Exons: 2
Source: RefSeq, a predicted model, not a curated record